CUCUCACUGUUCUAGAAAUACUCCCAUUAGCCUAUGAUCUUUGCUUUGGCAUGGAGUCUGAUGACACAUUGAUACCAUUUUCUGCCUGUUAACCUACCAAAGGACACAAAACCCUCUUCAUUUCCCUAGAAGUACAUGUAAUAUUUCAAAAUGUAUCACGGGGCACAGCCAUCCCAGGAAAAAGAUGUAAGGUAAUGAGAUAACGUGAAGAAUUCUAGGCACUGAAACUCAAUUCUGGUGGUGAUUUUAGUCUGAGGAAACACAACAAAGGCCAAGAAGAAUGGGAUCGUCAUGACUGGCUGGGAAAUGAAUCAUGGGCAGCCCAGACGCAGGGCUUUGAUCAGUCCAGCUUCCUCCUCCUAAGAAGUUUCCACCAGAACAUUGCUUGGUGACAUAGUGGUCUUCACCCUGAGCGUCUACAAAUGUAUGUUAAGUUGCUAUUAAGGACCUGUGGACAGAGAAGGCACACCACCACAGUGCUGUUAUAACCAAUACCAAUGAACAGAAACUACAGGGCACAGUGGAGACCCCCUGCAUUGCUGUAGUAUGCGUGCCUGCUGAUGAGAUGCAAAUAAACACAUGGGGUCACUCACGAGGAAUUCUUACCAAAACUGUCUAACCUGAAUCCAGCCAAGCUUUAAUCUAACCUCCGCUAUACAAGAAAUACAGAGAACAGAGGAAAAAGUUAAAGGACACCACAAGGAAACAGACAACCCAGAAAGUAGAAUGUUGUACAGAAAAACAAGUUAAGUCUCUUCAAUGGGUCAAUUUCAUCAAGAAUAAAGAAGCUGAGAAGGAACUCUUGUUUAAGAGACAUCGUAAAUGCACACUUUGAAAUACAUUCUGGUUUGAACAAAUUGUAAUAGUUAUAAAAGAUAUUUAGGAAAAUAGUGGAAAUUUGAAUAUGGGCUGUGUAUUAAAUUAUGUUAGAGAAUGAUUGUUAAUUUCAUUGGGUGGGAUGAUGCUAUUGUGGCUAUAUUUUAAAAGCCAUUAUUAUUUUAUGUAUGCAUUCUGGAUUAUUUAGAGUGGAAUAUUAACAGUAAUUUUCUUUAAAAUAGUCCAGAAAGAAAGAUAAAGAAAUAUGGCAAAUUGUUACGUAAGUUGGGUUUAUGCUUGUUCAUUAUACCAUUCUCUCUGCUUUUCUGCUAUGUUUUGAAAUUUUUUAUAAUAAUAAAAUUACCUUUGCUGGGGGAAGAGUGUUGGGAGGUAGAUUUCACAGAGAUGGUUGGAUCUGAGUAAUAACUAAAUUGAAGUAGUUAUGAGUGUCUUACAACGAAUGUCAAGAUGGAGUCAGCCCAUGCCACUGGAAGUCAUUUGAACUAUUAAAGAAGUCUCUACAACCAGUUAUAGAAUUACUUAUUUGCAUAAUUUUCUUAUUUGAAAGAUCUUUAGUUACCACCUGAUCCAACCAUAACAUUUUGUAGAAAAGAGAAGAGAGAUCAAAAUAAGUGAGGAUGUUGCUUAGUUUUUGUUGCCACCAGAAAAAUCAAUCCUCUUGACUUUGAGCCCACUCCUUCUUCUACUCAAUCCAAUUCUUAAUCUAAAAUUCCAUGACACUCUCUC
Molecule: long non-coding RNA, 1563 nt
Filed under: Homo sapiens (human)
Lineage: Eukaryota; Metazoa; Chordata; Mammalia; Primates; Hominidae
Description: HSALNT0307441
Source: RNAcentral